AGGAUGUAGACAUGGCCAGAAUUUAGAGCAGUUGCUACUAAUCAUUCUUUGCCCUCAUCAUCUCAGGAGCCAAAGAACAUUAGAUAAAAGGAAGGGCAAGGGUUUCUUUCAGAAAGAAUGGAGAAGCUCCUAACACACAAAGGGGAAAGCACAAAUGCAUUCCGCAAAGAGGAUUUAGCUACUUUAGGCGGAGAUGAUAUCAACUUGUCUACAAAGAGGUAGCAAGUGACAGGGCUCCCCCCUAAGUGAAAUAAAAAUAAUGUACUUGCGAUCGUGCCACUGAUUAUAAAUAGUCCAUCAGCUCUGCCAUGUGUCAUCAGCCAGAAAUAUCAUUAGGAAACUUUACAUUUUCUGACAUACUCUUUAAGAAACACAGCGCUUGUGGUGGCUGCAGAGCCAGCUUGAACUUCUCAGGCAAUGCUAUUGAUUUGUGGGUGGCAGCAGAGCCGAAGGGGCGGGAAAUGACAGGAUGUCAUACAUCAGGGAAGACUGAUUACAUAAAGCUCUCUUUGGCGUACUGGGGCCAGGGCUGGGAGAUAAUACAGCAAAAAGCCUGCCACGUCCCGGUGACAGGAGCCCAUUUCAGCAGCCAAAAAACUGUUUCCAACAGCUUCUGUUUUGCUGGACAGAAGCAGAGAGAACAGAGGGGAAACUCAAUCAAAUGAAAACCCCAAACGUCAAUGUCUUGUGUUGAACAGGAAAGACAGAGGCUAGCUUUGCUAGACGGGCUCAUCACUAGCCAGAAACGGUGCUCGAUGAAGGAGGAGAGGCUGUAAAGCAUGGGGCGUACUUCAGCUGCCAUGACCCCUGACCCUUUUCUUUUUGUUUUAUUUUUCAAGUUUGGUGUGUUUCUCUCUCUCUCUCUCUCUCUCUCUCUCUCUCUCUCUCUCACUCUCUCUCUUGCUCUCUCUCUCCCUCCCCCUCUCUCUGUAAGUGUAUGUGUGUGUGUGUGUGAGAGAGAGAGAGAGAGAGAGAGAGAGAGAGAGAGUUGUAUUACAAGACCCUGCCACAUGUUCUCGCAAUGCCAUUUUGCAAAUACAAAAAUACAAGAGACUAAUUUCAUUGGUUUAAAAAUGUAAUCUAUCCUAAAUUUGUCUCCACCUCAUCAAGCCUAACUAAAUUCACCUAAUUAAAUCUAUUUUCAUCAUGCAAAUUUCUCAGUCGUAUUUAUCUUGCAUAUAUAAUAUUCCUAUAAUCACUUUAAAAAACUAGUCAUGUAGCAAGUUGAACUGCUCCUAAAGAACAUUUUAAAGCAAUCAUGUCUAUGACCAAGCUGCUGUAGGAGUUCCAGGAAACCAUUGAAUGGGUCAUUUUCUAGCCUAAUGUAAUUUGCAUAAAAUUGAAAUAGAACAAACAAAUAAGACCUUCACUGGUUAACUGCUAACAGUAGACCUGAUCAUCCUGAAAAAUUUCUGUGUUCUUCAUGAUCAUGAAAUACAUGUGUGGUGUAUGUUCCCAGUAUGCUAUCGUUCUCUGUAAAACUACUCAUAUAUUAAUGGCUAUUAAAACAUGCAUCGUGAGUUUAGGUUUUGCAUUCUAAAUUUGGUCUUAGAUUUUUGCUUUUGGAGGGAGGAAAACUCAGGCUUAGGUCCCAGGAGGUUCUGAAGGUCAAGUAAGGGAAAGGACUUCAGUCCAGGCAAGAUGCGUGACAUCAACCCUCCCACCCUGUAUCAUCCCCAGGGUUCCAUUACCCUGGCUCCCACUAUAAUUAGCUCUCCUGUGCUAUCAUCACCUGUCCCAGGUUUAGAGAGACUUCAUUUAGCAUCAAGGAUAAAAAAUGCUUCAGGGAAAACUAAAGCCCAGAAGAAUGUAAUUUCACAAAGAAGAUUCUUCUCAGUAUAAAAUAAACUGCAAGUUCUAGAACAGAGCCCUGUAUUGAAGAAGAGGCCAGAGAUGGAGGAGCUUGCCUGUGCAUGGGAAGGUAGGAGGUAACUGGGCAGCACAAUGAAACUACCUGCAGUUAGCCUAGUUCCUGAGUAGGCUCCCUUCACAUAUGCCUCACAGGAUCACAGGAGUCCAGCUAUGUCUAACAAAAAUGCUUCAAGGACCUAAGCAUUCUCUUUUAAAAACAUAACCUGGAGAAGAUUAAGUUCCAGAGCAAAAGUUAUAAAAAACCCAAGCUACAUUUUUUUUGAAAGGAACAGUUUUAAUACUGGGGGAGAGUAAAAUGAUCAAGAAUUUUGUGUUUGAAUUUUGAUGGCCAAGCACUGGUGGUAGGUUUUGAUUCAGCAGUCCUGUGUGUAAGCAUACACAGAAAGCUAUAGAUGGAAUACAUUCAUAAAGAAUGCCAAUGCUUUUUCCAUGGGGACUGAGAGAGUUGCUAUGGUGAGAGGCCUCAGGGGACAUAGUCUGGGGCCCAGAGCAUGUGUAUGUAUCUGCAGUCCAUAGAUAAACCAUUCUCUUUUUUCUCCUCUUUUCAAAUAGUCAUAUCUUCUCCCUUUAUCAAUGGUAACAAAAUGUGAGCAUAUAGUUAUGGCAACAAUAUUUUAAGAACUGAACACUAAACUUUAUUUUUGUUCUAAAUGUAUGUUUACGUUGACUGCAAGUUGAGCAGUCAUCCAGGUUCUGCUUACUAACUCAUCUUUAUUUAAGAAAGAAAUGGUAGGAAAUAAAGACUGUUUCUAAAAUUUUAGGCUAUAACAUCUGGCUUCUUGUUGGCCACAUCUGAUCAGCUUCUAGCAGUCCUGUCCAGCUGGCAAGGGUAAAACAUCUCCACUUACCGUGUAUUGGUAAGAAGCACCCGAGGUAGUCUGGGAUAGAAACUUAGAAUUCAAAAUGUAGUUUCCAAAAGAGAAAACUGUAUGCAUAAUAGCCACAGCUUAAAUCACGUCCAUAUAUUUUGGAUUAAACAGGCUCUUGUUUUGAAAACUGUUCUCCUAAAUAUGAACCUGAGUAUUGAUGCUUUGAUAUAGCAUGGGCAUUUGCACACAUGGAGAGAUAAUAUUUCCUCCUGCUAUGUGCCCUCCUACUAUGAUAGAAAGCAUUUCUAUUUGGCUAUAGGUUAUGCGUCAAACCUCUCCAUUUAGGAACCAAACAUUCCUUUUUACAAGAAUUAAUUUAUGGAAGAUUAUAUUCUGAACACACUAGGUCCUUGGCAGGUGUUUAAGCAGAACAUGUUUGGAAGAAGAGACAAAGAGGAAGGAACUGGGGGAUUAAGUUUGUAUUUAUGAGGAAGGAGAGACCCUGACAAGACUCACGCAGGGUGAGCGUGUGUGUGUGUGUGGAGGUAUGGGGAUAAUCUUGGCGUCACUUCUCAUGUACAACCUCUUUUUGUGUUCUGGGUUCUCCUGAAAGGCAGAUCAGCCACAGAGCCACAGUUAUCCUAGGUGCACAGAGUGCUUUCCCGCUAUUUCACAACACAUUUGAUUUUCAUGGCAACACUAUGUGAAGAAAGAAAAGUAUCAUCUAACAGAAACAAGGGAACCGAAUUUUUCCCAACAUCACAAAGCUGAAUUUUUGAUCAAUCAGGAUUUGAGUAGGCAUUUGUCUGUUUGUUUUAAUGUGUAGGAUAAGGUAGUAAACAACUUAGGCUUGGUGGGCCACAGUCCUUAUUACAACAACCAUGCCGUUGUGUGUCUGCCAGAGACACUAUCUGAACAACAACAACAACAACAACAAUGGCUGUGGUCCAAUACAACUUUAUCUAGAAAAACAGACAAUGGCCAGACUUGUCCCUUGAACCAUAGGCUGCCGAUCUUUUGGCUCUGGUUGCUGUUCGCCAUUGUCAUGGUUCCCUCCUAAAAGUAAGAUGUUACUAACAACCGAGGGUUUUUGGACUCAUUUAAGGAAAUGUAAAUUGUUUUAUGUUGUUUCUGUUAAGCAUUUUUACACGUUCGAGUUCCAGAAACUGUCCAAUCAUAGCCCCUUAAAACUCCUGUUUUCUCAGGACUUGGCCUGGUCUUCAGGGUCCUAGGAUUAUUCUGAUCUCAUGGCUGACAACAGCAGCAGAAAAGCUGGCCAGAAGGAGUCUCAGCAUUUCUGCACUGCCAACUUGCACACUUUGCUCUUUCCCUGUGAGAAUCACCCUUCUCCAGAAACCUCACAUCGGCUCAUCUCAUCUGCAGAGCCCCUGAGGGGGCAGCCAGAUGGGCAGUUGCUGUUGAUGAAAACUUCUGAGUUGAGUAAGGGAUUUUUGUGGCCAUCAGAACCCCUAGCUCAAGCUGAAAUCCUGUUUUCAAAGCACAUGAUAAAGUCCCUAGUCACCUCCAGAUCACCUGCUUGGCGAUAAUUCACACGUCAGGUUAACAGCACUCAACCUCAAAUCUCAGGGUGCCCUCCCUGGCUGCCAGUUCUGAGAUGUCGUUCCCGGAGUCUGUCUGAACAUACUGGAGAGGCAGGGAGAGUGUGCCUGCAACUGCGUGUGUAAACCUGUGUGUGGUUCAUAACCACAUUUGCUGUAUAACCUUGGUUAAGUCAUUUAAGUGCCUUCAGCCUGUUCCCUUGUCUGGAAAAAGAGAGCUAAUCCUUUAAUCCUCAUAAUCAAAGGAUCACUGUGAGGAUUAUAUGAACAGGGGGACUAAUAGAUGUUAUAUUUUAUUCAGUGACACUUUGUGCCAGGCACUGUGCUAAGUGGCUUACUCAUGUUACCUCAUUUAAUCCUACGUGAAAUGGGCACCAUUGGGCCCGUGGUGCACACAUGGAAAAAACGUGGUUUAAGAAGUGGUAAAAUGACCUGUUCAAAGUUAAGGAGUUGCUAGGCUUCAGGGCUUGGACUUGCACGGACCCUUUUAGUGACACUCUAGUUCAUGCUUUCUCUCCACAACGGCUGCCCUCAGCUCAAGUGCCUAGAAAAAGUCUGACGUCUGAUAAGUCUUCACGGGGCACUCUUGCUCUCACCAGGACAGGGGGUACCAUGGAGUCUUGAAACUGUAGUUGUGUGCCCUCCACCAUCCUCUAGGGAUUUAACAGUAUUGAUCAGCCUGAAACUCAGCUUUCCUAUUGAAAAUCCAGUGCCAUUGCAACCAACGAGGCAGGGAUUUUUUUUCUUUUGGUUGCCCUAGACUAAGCACUGUUGCUAUUUCGAGCACAGUCCCUGUAGUACCCUCAUUGACAUCAUCUACAAGAAAUGCAGAGCCUCAGGUCCCUCCCACCCCAGAUCCCCUGAAUCAGCACCUGCUUCUCAGUGUGAUCCUUGGGGGCUUUGAAUGCUUACUGAAGAAUGAGAUGAAUUGGCGAGUUGGAUUGGAUGUAGGUCUUAGUCUCAGUUUCAAAUACUGUUCUGUGUCCCUGACUAUGUGUAAUUAACCUCCCUGUGCCUUUGUUUCUGGGAAAAACCACACAUCUAAUGAAUGGGAAUGAGGAAGGCAAACUCCCACAAGAAAAUUAUCAAGUUUUCUUAAUAUAUGCUAUUUCUCUUGGUCUCCAAACUUCGAAUUCCCAUUUUGACUCUGUUUUGGCAUUCUGAUUUAGAAGAUAGCACCAAUUUUCUUCAAGGGGCUAGUAGGAGCUUUAUAUGAAACAACUCAUGUAAAGUGUCUGGCCUUUAACAGAACCUCAAUUGGGUAUUGCUGUCUUUUUCUUCCCUCACACACUGUUAGGUGUUAGUUUUCACGCUGUCUAGGUGAUAUUCUCUCCUCCACGAGGCCCUAAUCUCCCCAAAGGUGGAGAAUGAUUUUGAUGUUUGUCUUUUAUAUAAGCACACAAAUUCACACAGAACAAGCACUUGCUAUAAGCUGGACACUAUGGGUGAACCCUGAGAUGUUCCUGGGUUUAGGAUGCUCCUUAUGUGAAGAGAAAUACAAGUCUAAGAACCAAUGAGAGCCCUGAAUAAACAAAGCUGUCCAUUGGACACCAAUUUUCACUAAGAAGAAUAGGGAAAGAUUGCCUGAAGGAAGAGGCACAUAGAGGAGCUUUGUAUAAAGGAUAGCAUUUGAGAAGGGUUACCCACUAAAGUGAUGACAUUGCAGCUUGAGGCCUAAUUCCAAACCUACCCUUAUCCCACAGGUAUUCACUGGGCAUCCACUGUGUGUCAGGUACAGUUAUGUUCCCUGGAAACACAGAAGGGAACAAGAAACAGGACAUCUUUGUUUCUGUCACCAUUGGAUUGGUAUUCUGAUUGAGAGUACAGAGGACAUCCAAGACAUAUUGAGAGAAUAUAAAGGUUGUCAGAGAAUGGAGAGUCCUAGGGAGAAAAUAGGCCAGAGACAAGGGAACAGCACUGCUAGGACAUGUCUGAAAAUUUUUAUGCAGAGGUCAGGGAAGGCCUCACUACUCAGGCAACAUAAAGAUAGAGACUAGUGAGAAGAGAGGCAGACAGUUAGCCCUAUCUGGGGGAAGGACAUUCUAAGCAGAGGGCAUCUCAUGUUCAAAGGCUCAGGAGCAGGAAUAUACCCUGUGUUAGAGAUACAACAGGAGUUAAGGCAAUCCAUAUCACCCUUGUCAAAUGAGUUAAAACAAGAAGACAUUGUAAAACCACAUUGGCCUUCCCUCUGACUAACAAACCUUUUCAAACCCACCUCUUCUGUGUGUGCAGGUGUGUGUGUGUGUGUGUGUGUGUGUGUGUGUGUGUGUGUGUGUGUGUGUGUGUGAGCAUGCUCAGGAACUCCUUCAUCUUGCUCCUCAGGUGCCAUCCAUUAUUCCUUUCUCUGUAGUUCUUAGACACUGUCUCUCACUGGCUUGAAACUCAUGGAUAGGCUAGGCUGGCUGGGUAGCAAACCCCAGGGAUCCACAUGUCUCCUCCUCCCCAGCAUGGGAGUUAGAAGUGCAGGCUAAAUGAGCUAAAUACCUAAUAAAAAAUGGAAAAAAAAAAAA
Molecule: long non-coding RNA, 6750 nt
Organism: Mus musculus (house mouse)
Lineage: Eukaryota; Metazoa; Chordata; Mammalia; Rodentia; Muridae
Product: predicted gene, 54251
Exons: 2
Source: RefSeq, a predicted model, not a curated record